GUGAGGCAAUGGCUGCACUACAGGGCAGAAUAAUCCCUGCACCAUUGUAGGGGAGUUGGGUAGUCCACCCCAGCUCCCCAAAACACAGGAGUCUUCUCAGAUGUGCAGCAGAGGAUCGGACAUUGCUGUUGGCCUUGAGGAAACUAUGGAGAGGGAUUCAUCUACUGAAAGCCAGACACAGACUGCAGUACUGGAGCAAUAAGACUGUGAGGAGGAAAGACCAUGAUGAAAGAUUCUACUCCUGCAGUGAAUCUCCCCCCUGGUUGUCAUGGAUUCCUCUACUAAGAAUCUCCAUGCUGCUGUGGAUUGAAGCCCUAAACCAGACGUGUCAGAACCAUCUGGUUUGGUGUGGAGAUACUGGUGCAGAUCCAUCCCUGGCUGGGUUUAUGUUUUCACCACAGCUUCAUGGAUGCAGGAACCUUUCAAAUAUGGGAGAACAAAAUCACAGUGACCGCAUUAAUGAGCCAGAGGUGCAUUCUGGGGCAGAAUAAUCCCCGCACUUUCACAAGGGGGCUGGGUAGUCCACCCCAGCUCCCCAAACCUUGGAUAUGUGUGAAACAUUGCAUCAUUUCUCUUGCACUCCCCAAUGCCUGGAUUCAUUUUUCACAGAAGGGUAUAGAAUGUCAUGGAUGAGGAUGUUUACAUUUGGAGUUGAAUCUGUGAGGCAAUGGCUGCACUACAGGGCAGAAUAAUCCCUGCACCAUUGCAGGGGGGGUUGGGUAGUCCACCCCAGCUCCCCAAAAUUAUGUACAUUUUAUGGAAAUUACGUUAUUUUCUGUGUCCCAGUACAGGAAUUUAUUGUGAUAUGCAUUUAAUCAAGGAAGUAGAUUUGAAAGUAGACAGGAAAUGUAUAUUAUCAUGUAUAAUUCCAGCUGUAUUUGUGAGGCAAUGGCUGCACUACAGGGCAGAAUAAUCCCUGCACCAUUGUAGGGGAGUUGGGCAGUCCACCCCAGCUCCCCAAAACUAUGGAUAACCCUGAAUACGUGAUUAUUUAAUUUUUCAUGUCGGUAUUCAGGGAUUUAUUGUGAUGCGCAUUUAAUCAAGGAAGUAGAUUUGCAAGGACAAGAAAAUGUUACUAUCAUGUAUAAUUCUAGCGGUAUUUGUGAGGCAAUGGCUGCACUACAGGGCAGAAUAAUCCCUGCACCAUUGCUGGGGAGUUGGGUAGUCCACCCCAGCUCCCCAAAACACAGGAGACUUUUCAGAUGUGCAGCAGAGGAUCGGACAUUGCUCUUUUCACCACAGCUUCAUGGAUGCAGGAACCUUUCAAAUAUGGGAGAACAAAACCACAGUGGCUGGAUUCAUGAGCCACAGGUGCAUUCUGGGGCAGAAUAAUCCCCGCACUUUCACAGGGGGGCUGGGUAGUCCACCCCAGCUCCCCAAACCUUGGAUAUGUGUGAAACAUUGCAUCAUUUCUUUUGCACUUCAUGAUGCCUGGAUGAAUUGUUCACUGAAGGAUAUAGAAUGUCAUGGAUGAGGAUGUUUAAAUUUGUAAUUUAAUCUGUGAGGCAAUGGCUGCACUACAGGGCAGAAUAAUCCCUGCACCAUUGCUGGGUAGUUGGGUAGUCCACCCCAGCUCCCCAAAAUUAUGUUAAUUUUACGGAAAUUAUGUUCUUUUCUGUGAUCAAAUACAGGAAUUUAUUGUGAUAUGCAUUUAAUCAAGGAAGUAGAUUUGAAAGUAGACAGAACAUGUUUAUUAUCAUGAAUAAUUGUAGCGGUAUCUGUGAGGCAAUGGCUGCACUACAGGGCAGAAUAAUCCCUGCACCAUUGUAGGGGAGAUGGGUAGUCCACCCCAGCUCCCCACCCAACCACAAACCCAAGGAUUU
Molecule: long non-coding RNA, 1823 nt
Organism: Clupea harengus (Atlantic herring)
Lineage: Eukaryota; Metazoa; Chordata; Actinopteri; Clupeiformes; Clupeidae
Exons: 2
Source: RefSeq, a predicted model, not a curated record